CUGCAAUUUUCGGAUUAUUACUUUGAGUAAAAUACUUUAGCUAUCUCAUAUUCAAUUUCUUUACCUAGUUUCUGAAUUCCUUCACUCUGUAUUGCAGGUGACUGACAGAUCCUGGUCCCCCACUGGGACAGGACUAACCUAUGUGGACAUUUCUCUGAGCAAGGAAGGAGACAUUUCCUAAAAAACUGUGUUCAAGAUCUGCUUUCAUUUGAACCUGUCCUGAAGUCAAAGAAGUUAAUGUGGCUUCAUCUGAGCAGAAUUUUGUCUAAAAUCUUCAUUACAUGCCAAUUCCAAAAGGAUAAUUCAUAGUUAAGGCCUCUGAACACAUUUAAAAUAAUCCUCUUUUGCUUCAUAUAAUGAAUAGAAUAGAUGGAAUUGCUUUCCCAGACUUUCUGAGGAAACUGAAGCAAUGCUUUAAAGUUUUAACAGCUUUUAUUUCUCUCUUCAAAUCUUAACCCAGUAUCAAAUAUUAAAGUCCCAAUAUAUUUAAGGAAAGCAGAAGUUGCUGUUAUAAUUAAUUUCCUAUCUGAGGGGAAAAAAAAAAGUAAUUGCUAACCACUUUUGGAAAGAAAAGUAAUCCUUUAAAAGAAAACCAGAGCAAAUGUGUACACGUGUACAAAAAUCUCUCUUUUUUCCCUUAAGCCUCAGCUACGUUUGUUGUACUUUAACAAAAAGACGUAAUUCGAUUUGAGGAUGCCAUGCCACAUUGAGAACAUAAAAGAACAAAAUGCAUUGAAAACAUAAAACUUCCAGAUUCCACAAUCUACAUACACUCUAUUGAGUAUAUCCCUGCGUUGGGAAACAGGCUGAGAAGUAAAAAUAUUUCCUGAGCACACAGAAAUUUCUACCAGAUCUCCACCUUGGUAAAUAAGUAUCUAAUUUCAGCCCAAGUGCAGGCUUUGAAGUUUAAUGCAAGUAAGAGGCUGGGAAGUAUAUAACGUAGUAGAGAAAGCUGGCAUCAAAAUAUCUAAUCAGCUAUUUGCUUUUCUUUCAAAUACACCAGCUCAGUUGCAGGCUUGUACUGAUCACCUGGAAAAGCAUGCAAUAAUUUCAUGAAAUCAUACUGGAAGAGGAAAAGGACGAUUUCACUGGUAGGCAAGAGAAACAUUUGUAAAGAAAUAUUUUCCCAUUUUUUGCCAUCAGAAGGGCUACCAUUUCAAGUGUUCGCCUCCUUAGGGAUCUCCCUUGAUAAAUGGAUACCACGUUUGACAAAUGGCUCGUCUCUAUGCUCCAGGAAGGAGUGAAACAGGAUGAGCUCAGUGUAUCUGCUCAGGGUCCUGGGAGCGAUGCACUCCUUUAUGAAGUUUGGGCUGGAGAUAUCCCUCACGUGUUGUCAACAUCAAGCCCAAGGGUUGAGAUGGGCUGAUGGCUGAUGACUCAAUUUCUGCAACCACACACCCUCACUUUCCUCAUCUAGCAAGGAUAUGUUGCAGGAUGAAGAGUCUUUGAAUUAGAAAUCAUUGUUUGUUUGUUUUGAAGGAUAGAAUUUUGGAAUAAAUAACAAAUUCCAAAGAACAGAGCCAUCCCUUAUGUAUGCAGUAUAUGAAGAGCUUCAAAAUUAUUAUUAUGUUCCAGUUUGCUUAGACAUUCAAAAAGUCAAUGGAGACAUCUGGUGCUUUUGCAGCUAGAUGAGCACACAAAAAUACAGUAACAAUAGGAAAAAAAAGGAGAAUACCCAACAAUUAGGCCACAGCUGGAAGCAAAAUGAUGUCUGACAUAACCAUGACAUACCAUGUCACCUGUUUUGAUCUACCCUUCUGUAUGCUGUAACCUUUUUUCUUCCUCUCUUUUUCAACUUUAUCAAAGAUUCAUUUAAAAUACUAAUGUUCUUCACUCUAUUAUUUGAAGUUAAAAGAAACAUAUGGUGCUUUGCAACAAAAGAUAAUUAGAUUUCUUGUCUGCCUUCAGUAUUAUAGUUUUUAAUGCACUUUAAUGGAGUUUACAAAUAGAAUAGGCAAAAUUAAUGAUAGAAAAGUUAAGAGGUUUGAAAUGAGAAUUUCUGAAUUUCUGGGUUUGUUUCCUGUCUUAUGGUCUAUCUACUGCAGCAUCCUGUGCUCCUUUAGGCAUUGCUCACUUCUGCUUCAGAAGAAUGAUAAAUUUGCUGGUGCUGGAAAGAACAAAUCAGAACAGUAUCUUCCUCCUAAGCACUGCAGAUAACUGCAGCAUAGGGCCUAGAGCACAAUGACUUGUAGCCCUUUCAUUCUAUCCCUGUUCAGUGUUACAGUCAGCAUUCACUUCAUCCACAGCAGAGAUGAAUCAUCACCUUGAAUCCUUCUAAGGUUGUCCUAAGCAUAAUGUUUGAAAUGAUUCCAGCAAAUUACAUAUGCAUGGUGCAAAAAUGAGUCCAUUUUAUUUUAUAUUUUUCCUUCUCAAAGUAAUGCUGACAAUGUGACUGAGUAAUAAUUUAUAGCAAGAUCAUAAGAACUGUAAAUAAUCUGAUCUAUUGGCAUAUUACCCACUAAUAAUGUGUAGAGAUUUUGAUACAUUUUUUUCGACUCAUAGGAGGACGUGAGUGAGAAUGGUUUGAUGCAAGAUGUGAAAGGACUGCUUGUGCAUCUGCUGUGCUCACCUCAGUCUGUGCUUAGAAUGGAAAGGAAACCUGCAUGUUAGGAGAAGAAAGUAAAAUUCUCUACAAACUUACUAAAACUAAAUCAUGGUGAUAUUUUUACAUAUGACAUAUAUUUUUGAAAAGAAAAAAUUAAAAAAAAAAAAGAAGAAGAGGAAAAAGAAAAAAGAAAGGAAAAGUAACUGGAAAUCUUGUUUUUUGGCUUUCAGUAAAGCAUCUGAUGUGAUACACUGUAGAGAAUUCAGGUGUUGAUGAAGUCAUCAGCUUGACAUAUGAAAAUGCAACAUAUAGUAUUCAGUAGGAUUCUGCCUGUAAGCCACUCUGUAGGGCAUUAGAAAAACAGCAACUGCAGCCUUUUUUUCCAGUGAAGGUGAUAAAAUAUUUAGGCUACUGAAUGCAUCUCUGAAGUGGAUUGCUGCCUGCAUUACCUGUUGUCUAUCUUCAGAUAAGACAAAUCUAGACUGGAAUAGAUACAGAGAAGGGGUAAAAGAUUAGUAGAUGAGAAGAGCUUGUUUACAGUGACUCAUGUCUUUUAAAACAUUGAAUGGGAGGAGGUAUAAUUACACCUGAUAAUUCAUUUUCUGAAGUGAUUAGUGACAUAACCUUUUCAAAUCCAAACUCAAAAAUACGUGGAUCAUAGUAUCAAGGUUUGUGUUCAAGAGGAGCAGCUUUCAUUUGCAACUGAAGUGACAGUGAGUGCAUCACAACUUUUGUUAUAGGAAUCAAAUAUACUUUAGUCCUCUCUAAAGGAAGGCAAAAUACAGCCUUGCAUAUUUUUUUCCUUAAAUUCAGCGUGACCUCUGCCUAAAUUGAUUUAAUCAUUAAAAUAAUAUUGUAUCAUUUCUCUUACUUGUUUACUGAUUUCAUUUUGUGAAGAAUUUUGCAUUACUUUUGCAUCAUUUUUGCAUCAGCGUGUUAUCAACAACUGUUUUAUAAAUUUGUAAGAUAAAACUUUAGAUCACUGGUCUUCUUGGCUAAGAGGACAUGGAUAAAGUUGUUUUGUUGUUUUUUUUUUAAUUUUACGUGAUAUUUUAAAAUAUGAAAAAUGCAUUGGCUAUAAAAUUUUAUAUGUCUUCAUGUUUUUGUGCAGAUUCUCAGCUGAUACAUUUACAUUGCAUUUGACUCUGGGUAAUUUGAUGUCAUUAUUCUCUUACACAGUAAUAUGAAAAGUACAUAUAAGGCUUUUUUACUAAGGUUUACAAAAAUUCUUUCUACCAAGUAUGUGAUUUUUAGUCAUUAAUGAAUUCCAAGGUUUACUUAUGAGGUGUUGUAGGCAAAACUACAGGAUUUCAUACCUUGCUUGGAGAACAAUGAAUAACUUCAAGUCUGUUUGUAACCCAUCUUAGUCUACAUUUAAGAUGGAAAAGAUUAAAAUGGAAAACAGGAUUAUUACAGAAAGUCUUUAGAAAUGGAUAAAAUAAGGGGAAAAAAUUGAUCAAUUAAUCAAGUAAUAAUAGCAUUGAAUUUAAGCUUUAAACUAGUACAAGCACCAACAGAAUAAGUCAUUGCAUUCAGUGGAUCCUGAACUAUGCAUAAGAGAGAAGCUCUGCAGAUGACCACAGGGAUAUAUAUGUAUUCCAAUAAUAUAAUUGUCUUAUACAAUAAGUUAUAUUGUUCUUAAUACUUCCACAAAUAUUUGCAUGGAAUAAUUUGACUGCUAAUUACUAAUGAUUCCCAGGGUUUAUGUCGUUCCGAGGCACUGAUCCUCCAGAAGGAGGGGGACAAGAACACAAGUAAAGAGGCUGCAGAAUGAAACAUCAAAUUUCCCCUUUGAAAACAAAGAAGAAAUCAGGAGUUGGCAAGAAAAAAAUAAAAACAACCAAACAACUCAGUGCUUAAAAUGGCAUUUGUGGAGACCUGGUGACAAGGAUCUUUUAAAACUUGAUUGAGAGAAAAAAAAAAAAAGGAAAAGAAACAUAUCCACCUCUUACCAGCACAACAGCAAGGAGGCCAGAUGAAAUCCUGUUACAUGGCUGCCUUUUGAAGGAUUUAAUUGCUCCAAGGAUUCAUGCUUACACAGUAUUCUCCACCUCCUAGAAACCACCGUAAGUCCUACUUUAAUAAUGCUAUUCUUUGAUGAGAAUAUUUCACGACCUGUGUAAAGUGGGUUAGGACUUUCCUCAUUCCCUUGUCAACACAUAUGAAUUCUGGCCAAUAUAAAUGUCCUGUCUUAUUGGCAGGGACCAAAGAAAAAUCAGACGUACUGAGACGAUUGCAAAUGAAGGACUUUUAUAGCUAAGUAAGUAAUAGUUUAUUCUUCCAAAAACCAGAAUAUUUUGGAGGAAAACAUGGAGAUCAAGACAACAAUUUUUGGCUGCUAUUGCUUAUAUUAUGUCUGUUUUGUGGGUAAACAAUAGCUCCAAAGCUGUUUUUCAAAUAAGGAGAUAAGGGUCUUCUUCUGCCCUGGUGAAUGGUUAAAAACAUAGAGCCAGAAAUGUGCUUAUAAUUCCCAUGAAAAGUAGGAUGAAGGUGGUUUCUGAGGGCUCACAGAGGUCAUAAUAAGAAAGCAGU
Meleagris gallopavo (turkey) is the source of this 5077-nucleotide non-coding RNA. The record is from RefSeq and is a predicted model, not a curated record. Lineage: Eukaryota; Metazoa; Chordata; Aves; Galliformes; Phasianidae.